RNAcentral lists this ribosomal RNA (843 nucleotides) under uncultured bacterium. Its description in RNAcentral is "bacterial SSU rRNA". It matches the Rfam family "Bacterial small subunit ribosomal RNA", at positions 22 to 906 of the family's 1533-position model. The record is from RNAcentral.
GCUCAGGAUGAACGCUGGCGGUAUGCUUAACACAUGCAAGUCGAACGGAAUGCUUAGGCAUUUAGUGGCGGACGGGUGAGUAACGCGUGAGAAUUUGGCUUCAGGUCGGGGACAACAGUUGGAAACGACUGCUAAUACCGGAUAUGCCGGAAGGUGAAAGAUUUAUUGCCUGAAGAUAAGCUCGCGUCUGAUUAGCUAGUUGGUGGGGUAAGAGCCUACCAAGGCGACGAUCAGUAGCUGGUCUGAGAGGAUGAUCAGCCACACUGGGACUGAGACACGGCCCAGACUCCUACGGGAGGCAGCAGUGGGGAAUUUUCCGCAAUGGGCGAAAGCCUGACGGAGCAAUACCGCGUGAGGGAGGAAGGCUCUUGGGUCGUAAACCUCUUUUCUCAGGGAAGAAAAAAAUGACGGUACCUGAGGAAUAAGCAUCGGCUAACUCCGUGCCAGCAGCCGCGGUAAUACGGAGGAUGCAAGCGUUAUCCGGAAUGAUUGGGCGUAAAGGGUCUGUAGGUGGUGCUGUAAGUCUGCUGUUAAAGAGUCACGCUCAACGUGAUAAAAGCGGUGGAAACUACAGGACUAGAGUGCGGUCGGGGCAGAAGGAAUUCCUGGUGUAGCGGUGAAAUGCGUAGAUAUCAGGAAGAACACCGGUGGCGAAAGCGUUCUGCUAGUCCGCAACUGACACUGAGGGACGAAAGCUAGGGGAGCGAAUGGGAUUAGAUACCCCAGUAGUCCUAGCCGUAAACGAUGGAUACUAGGCGUGGCUUGUAUCGACCCGAGCCGUGCCGGAGCUAACGCGUUAAGUAUCCCGCCUGGGGAGUACGCACGCAAGUGUGAAACUCAAAU